This 103-nucleotide microRNA precursor is filed under the name Marmota monax (woodchuck). Lineage: Eukaryota; Metazoa; Chordata; Mammalia; Rodentia; Sciuridae. The record is from RNAcentral.
AGUGGGAUAGCUGGGUCAAAUGGUGGUUCGAUUCUUAGUUUUCUAAGGAAUUUCCAUGCUGCUUUCCAGAUUGGUUGCACCAAUUUGCAGUCCCACCAGCAAU